RNAcentral lists this transfer RNA (72 nucleotides) under Thermomonospora echinospora. RNAcentral's name for it is "Actinomadura echinospora tRNA". It matches the Rfam family "tRNA". From Rfam's summary of the family: Transfer RNA (tRNA) molecules are approximately 80 nucleotides in length. RNAcentral also lists the same sequence under 5 other names. The record is from Rfam by way of RNAcentral. Lineage: Bacteria; Bacillati; Actinomycetota; Actinomycetes; Streptosporangiales; Thermomonosporaceae.
GGGCGAUUAGCUCAGUGGGAGAGCGCUUCCCUGACACGGAAGAGGUCACUGGUUCAAUCCCAGUAUCGCCCA